RNAcentral lists this ribosomal RNA (235 nucleotides) under Paenibacillus xylanilyticus. Its description in RNAcentral is "partial 16S ribosomal RNA". It matches the Rfam family "Bacterial small subunit ribosomal RNA", at positions 91 to 319 of the family's 1533-position model. The record is from RNAcentral. Lineage: Bacteria; Bacillati; Bacillota; Bacilli; Caryophanales; Paenibacillaceae.
GUUAGCGGCGGACGGGUGAGUAACACGUAGGCAACCUGCCCUCAAGCUUGGGACAACUACCGGAAACGGUAGCUAAUACCGAAUACUUGCUUCUUUCGCCUGAAGGAAGCUGGAAAGACGGAGCAAUCUGUCACUUGAGGAUGGGCCUGCGGCGCAUUAGCUAGUUGGUGAGGUAACGGCUCACCAAGGCGACGAUGCGUAGCCGACCUGAGAGGGUGAUCGGCCACACUGGGAC